Molecule: ribosomal RNA, 699 nt
Filed under: uncultured fungus
Lineage: Eukaryota; Fungi
Description: eukaryotic LSU rRNA
Rfam family: 5.8S ribosomal RNA (bases 179-332)
Source: RNAcentral
AGGAUCAUUCAUAAUGAGUGUUUAUGGCACUUUUAAAAAUCCAUACCCACCUUGUGUGCACCGUUAGUCAUGUUCCUUGUUCUCUCUUGAGAGAGCGAGGAGGCAGACUUCAAAUUAAUCUAUCUUUAACCAGUUUGUCUGAAGCAAUGUAUCAUGAGUUAACAUAAUUCUAAAAUACAACUUUCAACAACGGAUCUCUUGGCUCUCGCAUCGAUGAAGAACGCAGCGAAAUGCGAUACGUAAUGUGAAUUGCAGAAUUCAGUGAAUCAUCGAAUCUUUGAACGCACAUUGCGCUCUCUGGUAUUCCGGAGAGCAUGCUUGUUUGAGUAUCAGUAAAACACCCUCAACCUUUUCUUUAUUGAAAAGGUUGGACUUGAGUGAUCCCAACGGUUUUUUUUUAAAAGGCUGGCGGGUUGCUUGAAAUGCAGGUGCGGCUGGACACAUCUUCUGAGCUAUAAGCAUUACCUAUUUAGUCCCGUCAAACGGAUUAUUUCUAUUGCUACAGCUAAUAUAAAGGUUGAUUGUCCUGUGCCCGACUGAUGCAGGAAAACAUGGAGAAAUCCUUGUUCAACUCGAUCUCAAAUCAAGUAAGACUACCCGCUGAACUUAAGCAUAUCAAUAAGCGGAGGAAAAGAAACUAACAAGGAUUCCCCUAGUAACGGCGAGUGAAGCGGGAUGAGCUCAAAUUUAAAAUCUGGC